AUAAAUAGCCCCCCAACACUAUUCACUUCGGGCAGUUCAAAAUUUGAUAUCUUUCGCCGGAGCUUUCUGAUCAUCCGUUUGAGCUCAAAUUUGACAGUCAUGUUCAGUUUUACUUAACGAGUAUAAAGAAAUUUUAAUAUUUUAGUUUCGACCCCGUUUGAUCACCGAAAACUGUACCGAAUUACAAUCUUUAUCAGAUAGCUGUCGGAUUUUAUUUUCCACCUUCCGGGUGUCAGAAUGACAUGAAACUUUAAAUCUAGCCUCACAAAAAUAAUUCUAACUAAUCCUCCGGUUUUUAUAAUUUUCUGACACUGUGCAUUUUCUGCUAAUUUAUCUGUCCCGUUUCCAACAGAAAAUUCUAAAUCUUCUGUUUUCAUUCCGAUUUCAGUACAAGUCACUUCUGACUUAUGUUUUACUUUUCUAAAUCUAAUAAAAAUAGUAUCUCACACUAUUUUUAUUUAUUUUUAUUUUUGUACCAAAAUCUGGUUUGUUACACUAUGCCAC
RNAcentral lists this long non-coding RNA (504 nucleotides) under Ananas comosus (pineapple). RNAcentral describes it as "long non-coding RNA (ACOM_LNC001701)". Lineage: Eukaryota; Viridiplantae; Streptophyta; Magnoliopsida; Poales; Bromeliaceae. The record is from RNAcentral.